GACGAACGCUGGCGGCGUGCUUAACACAUGCAAGUCGAACGGAAAGGCCCUGCUUUUGUGGGAUGCUCGAGUGGCGAACGGGUGAGUAACACGUGAGUAACCUGCCCUUGACUUUGGGAUAACUUCAGGAAACUGGGGCUAAUACCGGAUAGGAGCUCCUGCUGCAUGGUGGGGGGUGGAAAGUUUGGGCGGUUGGGGAUGGACUCGCGGCUAUCAGCUUGUUGGUGGGGUAGUGGCUUACCAAGGCUUUGACGGGUAGCCGGCCUGAGAGGGUGACCGGCACCAUUGGGACUGAGAUACGGCCAAGCCUCCUACGGGAGGAAGCAGUGGGGAAUAUUGACCAAUGGGCGGAAGCCUGAGGCAGCACCGCCGCGUGCGGGAUGACGGCCUUCGGGUUGUAACCCGCUUUCGCCUGUGCCGAAGCGUGAGUGACGGUAAUGGGUAAAGAAGCACCGGCUAACUACGUG
Molecule: ribosomal RNA, 467 nt
Filed under: uncultured bacterium
Lineage: Bacteria
Description: partial 16S ribosomal RNA
Rfam family: Bacterial small subunit ribosomal RNA
Source: RNAcentral